GACGAACGCUGGCGGCGUGCUUAACACAUGCAAGUCGAACGGAAAGGCCCUGCUUUUGUGGGGUGCUCGAGUGGCGAACGGGUGAGUAACACGUGAGUAACCUGCCCUUGACUUUGGGAUAACUUCAGGAAACUGGGGCUAAUACCGGAUAGGAGCUCCUGCUGCAUGGUGGGGGUUGGAAAGUUUCGGCGGUUGGGGAUGGACUCGCGGCUUAUCAGCUUGUUGGUGGGGUAGUGGCUUACCAAGGCUUUGACGGGUAGCCGGCCUGAGAGGGUGACCGGCCACAUUGGGACUGAGAUACGGCCCAGACUCCUACGGGAGGCAGCAGUGGGGAAUAUUGCACAAUGGGCGGAAGCCUGAUGCAGCAACGCCGCGUGCGGGAUGACGGCCUUCGGGUUGAAAACCGCUUUCGCCUGUGACGAAGCGUGAGUGACGGUAAUGGGUAAAGAAGCACCGGCUGACUACGUG
RNAcentral lists this ribosomal RNA (468 nucleotides) under uncultured bacterium. RNAcentral describes it as "partial 16S ribosomal RNA". It matches the Rfam family "Bacterial small subunit ribosomal RNA", at positions 28 to 507 of the family's 1533-position model. The record is from RNAcentral.